RNAcentral lists this non-coding RNA (29 nucleotides) under Mus musculus (house mouse). Lineage: Eukaryota; Metazoa; Chordata; Mammalia; Rodentia; Muridae. The record is from RNAcentral.
UAAUACAUAAAACUACCACCCAGACAGGC